This 624-nucleotide ribosomal RNA is filed under the name Salmonella bongori. RNAcentral describes it as "partial 23S ribosomal RNA". It matches the Rfam family "Bacterial large subunit ribosomal RNA", at positions 915 to 1539 of the family's 2925-position model. The record is from RNAcentral. Lineage: Bacteria; Pseudomonadati; Pseudomonadota; Gammaproteobacteria; Enterobacterales; Enterobacteriaceae.
UCGGCUAGGGGGCCAUCCCGGCUUACCAACCCGAUGCAAACUGCGAAUACCGGAGAAUGUUAUCACGGGAGACACACGGCGGGUGCUAACGUCCGUCGUGAAGAGGGAAACAACCCAGACCGCCAGCUAAGGUCCCAAAGUCAUGGUUAAGUGGGAAACGAUGUGGGAAGGCCCAGACAGCCAGGAUGUUGGCUUAGAAGCAGCCAUCAUUUAAAGAAAGCGUAAUAGCUCACUGGUCGAGUCGGCCUGCGCGGAAGAUGUAACGGGGCUAAACCAUGCACCGAAGCUGCGGCAGCGGCACGCAAGUGUUGUUGGGUAGGGGAGCGUUCUGUAAGCCGUUGAAGGUGGCCUGUGAGGGUUGCUGGAGGUAUCAGAAGUGCGAAUGCUGACAUAAGUAACGAUAAAGCGGGUGAAAAGCCCGCUCGCCGGAAGACCAAGGGUUCCUGUCCAACGUUAAUCGGGGCAGGGUGAGUCGACCCCUAAGGCGAGGCCGAAAGGCGUAGUCGAUGGGAAACGGGUUAAUAUUCCCGUACUUGGUGUUACUGCGAAGGGGGGACGGAGAAGGCUAUGUUGGCCGGGCGACGGUUGUCCCGGUUUAAGCGUGUAGGCUGGUUUUCCAGGCAA